This 3197-nucleotide long non-coding RNA is filed under the name Homo sapiens (human). Its description in RNAcentral is "HSALNT0231982". Lineage: Eukaryota; Metazoa; Chordata; Mammalia; Primates; Hominidae. The record is from RNAcentral.
GUGUAGUAGAAGAUUCUUUCCAAGGAUCCUUCUCGUUGAUUGCUAUUAGGAACUGUGUGAAUUUAAGCCCAUUUAAUUAUUUCUAUGUUUUAGAUUUAAAAACCAGUAUCAGGAAGUUAUUUCACUUACUUCAUAUUUGUGAGUUCCUAUAAAGAUAAACUUUUAUUAGAUUUUAUUAAAGAACUGCAUCAUGCUUUACAAGCAUUUUCUUUAUGUGGUUAAUUUGCAUAUUCUUCAUGAUGACAGAUGAUAAUUAUUAAAAAUGUUCUUGUAGUUAAACAUAGUUACUGCUACAUCUUGGCAAAGAACAAGUCAGCCCUUAUUAGACAAGUUCAACAGGGCACCAAGAUCAAGGGGCACUUAGACAUAGCAGUGAAAGAGGAAAGAGAACUUACUCACUGACCAAUUUAACCAGAUAAGCCCUUCAAUUUAUGUCAAGAAGAUGUCACAAACAGAUGUUCAUAAAAACAAUCACUAGUGUUUUAUAGCAAUGCAAAGACAAAAUCAAAAGGGUUCCCUUUUCUCCACAUCCUCACCAGCAUGUGUUAUUGCCUGUCUUUUGGAUAUAAGCCAUUUUAACUGGGGUGAGAUGGUAUCUCAUUAUAGUUUUGAUUUGCAUUUCUCUGAUGAUCAAUGAUGUUGGGCACCUUUUUACAUGCCCGUUUGCCAUUUGUAUGUCUUCCUUUGAGAAAUAAGCCAGGUACAGAAAGACAAACAUUGCGUCUUCUCACUUAUUUGUGGGAUCUAAAAAUCAAAACAAUUGAACUCAUGGACACAGAGAGUAGAAGCAUGGUUACCAGAGGCUGGGAAGGGUAGUAACGAGGGUGGAGGAGAGGCGGGAAUGGUUAACAGGUACAAAAAUAACAGUUAGAAAGAACGAAUAAGACCUACUAUUUGAUAACACAACAGGGUGACUAUAGUCAAUAAUAACUUAACUGUACAAUUAUUUUAAAAUAUUGGGAGGCUGAAACCAUGGGAUCUGAAUGCUGCUAAAUGAUUCUCCAAAGCACAUGUGCUAAACUCUCUUUGGUUGUAGGUAGCAUAUUGAUGCUCACCGAUUCUGCUGUCAUUAUGAGUACAAUGCAAAGCAAAAGGCUUCUUCCUUUUUUUAACUUUUAAGUUCAGCAAAUGUGCAGAUUUGUUACACAGGUAAACUUGUGUCAUGGGUGUUUGUUAUACAGAUUAUUUCAUCAUCCAGGUAUUAAACCUAAUGCCCAUUAGUUAUUUUUCCUAAUCCUCUCUGUCCUCCCCCAACCUUCCAUCAUUCAACAGGCACCAGUGUGUGUUGUCCCCUCUAUGUGCCCCUGUGUUCUCAUCAUUUAGUUCCCACUUAUAAGUGAGAAUAUGUGGUAUUUGGUUUUUUGUUCCUGUGUUAGCGUGCUGAGGAUAAUGGCUUCCAACUUCAUCCAUGUCCCUGCAAAGGACAUGAUCUCAUUCUUUUUUACGGCUGCAUAGUGUUCCAUGGUGUAUAUGAACUACAUCUUCUUUUUCUAGUCUAUCAUUGAUGGACAUUUAAGUUGAUUCCACAUCUUUGCUAUAUUGCAAAUAGCGCUGCAAUGACCAUACCCAUGCAUGUAUCUUCAUAAUUGAAAAAUUUAUAUUACUUUGAGUAUAGACCCAGUAAGUGGGGUUUCUGGGUCGAAUGGUAUUUCUGUCUUUAGAACGUUGAAGAAUUGCCACACUGUCUUCCACAAUGGUUGAAGUAAUUUACACUUCUACCAACAGUAUAUAAGCAUUUCUCUUUGUCUGCAACCACGCCAGCAUCUGUUAUUUUUUGACUUUUCAACAGUGGCCAUUCUGACUGUUGUAACAUAGUAUCUCAUGGUGGUUUUGAUUUACAUUUCUCUAAUGAUCAGUGAUGUUGACCUUUUUUUUUUUUUUCAUGUGAUUGUUGGCCACAUGUAUGUCUUCUGCAAAAGGGCUUUUUCUAAGGCAUGGAAACUUCCCUUUUACUUCUCAGUUUGUUGUUGAUUCAAUUUUGUUCUAAUUCACGCUAAAUCAUUCACCCUUAUUCUACUGAAUAACAAAAAAGACAUGAGUUUUCCUUAGAAAAACCACAUGAAGAACAAAAGCAUUUAAAAACGAAGGCUCUGAAAUACCUAAAUUGGUUCAUCACUAAAUUAAGCACUUAUUAAUUCUGAGAGUUUGUCAAGUUUAUCAAAUCUCUCUUAGCUUCAGUUUGAGAAUUUGUGAAAUGGUAAAUCAUGUCUACUAAGGGAUUGCUGUGUGUAUUAAAUGAGAUAAUACCUGUAAUACAAGGUGGUAUGCCUAUUAUUUAAUUCUAAGUAAAUUUAUGCUCUUCAUUUAUAAUUUCAUUAUUUGUGCUUAUGAGUGUUGAAAGAGCAUAAACAAUUUAAUGCAGCUCAGAAAUAAAAUCCAUUAAAUGAUAUGAAAAUAGACAAAAGUCACAAAAUACCUACCCUGAUGGUGUUAGGAUAAGGGAAAAUGCAUGAAAACAAGCUUGCUGGAAAGCAUUACCUUCAUAUAAAACCCUAGAGGGAAAUAGUCCAUCUACAAAAUAAUUGUUCCAUUUAUUAGGAAAAAAGAUAAAUCCUACUGAAACAACUUAGGAAGUGCCUCUCAAACUUGCUAGCUCAUUUGUGUGUUUUUUUCACAAUUUCUUGAGUGUCUAACAUGUGUCCAGCACUGUGCUGGAUCAUCAAUAUGCAAUGGAGAACACAGCAGACUUGAAUAGUGCCCCCAUAUAAUUUACAUUCCAAUAGGGCUGUCCUGAUUCCAUCAGCAUGGUUCAGCAACAUUAUGUUUAUAUGUUUAGAUAACUCUGUUGUUCUGUAUAAUAUACUUUCCUCCACAGAAGGCCUAAUUUCAUCUCCUUUCAAGUUUGCCUACACCAAUUCUAAAACAAGAACAGCAGUUUUCCACAUUACGAAUAUUCUUUAAAUUUAUGACUAUUGUCUAUCAUGAAGAAAAGCAACCAAAUUCAUAUUUUGGAGAAUAGUUCUCAGGAAGAAAAAAAAUAGAAGUUGGUUGUAGGAAAAGUUAUAUUAAAAGAAUGAGGCUUUCAAGAAAGUUCAAUACCUUCAACAAUUUUGCGUUAAAUGAUAUGAAUUUGUCCUUCCCUUUUCUGGAGAGCCUCUGUCCGCAGAAAUUUGAUUUCAUAUUUUAAAGGGUUGUUUCCUAAUGGUUUGGUGGUACACAGUACUCCUAUCUGUUCUAACAUUAGGAAACCUCAGCUC